UACGUAGGGUGCGAGCGUUGUCCGGAAUUACUGGGCGUAAAGAGCUCGUAGGUGGUUUGUCGCGUUGUUCGUGAAAACUCACAGCUUAACUGUGGGCGUGCGGGCGAUACGGGCAGACUGGAGUACUGCAGGGGAGACUGGAAUUCCUGGUGUAGCGGUGGAAUGCGCAGAUAUCAGGAGGAACACCAAUAGCGAAGGCAGCUCGCUGGGACGUUACUGACACUAAGGCGCGAAAGCGUGGGGAGCGAACAGG
RNAcentral lists this ribosomal RNA (253 nucleotides) under uncultured bacterium. RNAcentral describes it as "partial 16S ribosomal RNA". It matches the Rfam family "Bacterial small subunit ribosomal RNA", at positions 524 to 776 of the family's 1533-position model. The record is from RNAcentral.